RNAcentral lists this ribosomal RNA (207 nucleotides) under uncultured bacterium. RNAcentral describes it as "partial 16S ribosomal RNA". It matches the Rfam family "Bacterial small subunit ribosomal RNA", at positions 568 to 774 of the family's 1533-position model. The record is from RNAcentral.
CGCGUAGGCGGCCAUCUUUGUCAGGCGUGAAAGCCCUGGGCUUAACCUGGGAACUGCGCUUGGGACGGGGUGGCUAGAGAUCGGGAGAGGAGAGUGGAAUUCCCAGUGUAGAGGUGAAAUUCGUAGAUAUUGGGAAGAACACCAGUGGCGAAGGCGGCUCUCUGGACCGAUACUGACGCUGAGGCGCGAAAGCGUGGGGAGCAAACA